RNAcentral lists this transfer RNA (46 nucleotides) under Telmatoblechnum serrulatum. RNAcentral describes it as "partial tRNA-Leu". The record is from RNAcentral. Lineage: Eukaryota; Viridiplantae; Streptophyta; Polypodiopsida; Polypodiales; Blechnaceae. RNAcentral also lists the same sequence under 2 other names.
AAAAUCCGUUGGUUUCGACCGUGAGGGUUCGACUCCCUUAUCCCCA